AAGAUCAUACUUCAAAGAAUCAUUUCUAUAGUAUGUAUCCCUAGCUUCACAUCCAAUAUGUGAAGUCAGCCUUAGCCACGAUGACGAGUGAUUGGAGCCCUUCCUGAGCGCGAUGCCGGUGCUCGAGACCUAUACACCCUUAUCGGUGAGGACUCGACACCAUUGAUGAACGUUUCCGUAACACCAUUAGUGUGUUUCGGGAGGGAAGGGAUCCGUUCCGAGUGGU
Small nucleolar RNA from Oppia nitens, 226 nucleotides. RefSeq annotates it as small nucleolar RNA U3. The record is from RefSeq and is a predicted model, not a curated record. NCBI's taxonomy places the organism in Eukaryota, Metazoa, Arthropoda, Arachnida, Sarcoptiformes, Oppiidae. The transcript has a single exon.